Molecule: ribosomal RNA, 472 nt
Filed under: uncultured bacterium
Lineage: Bacteria
Description: bacterial SSU rRNA
Rfam family: Bacterial small subunit ribosomal RNA
Source: RNAcentral
AGGGUUUGAUCAUGGCUCAGAAUGAACGCUGGCGGCAUGCCUAACACAUGCAAGUCGAACGAGAUCUUCGGAUCUAGUGGCGCACGGGUGAGUAACGCGUGGGAACCUACCUUUUAGUACGGGACAACGUUUGGAAACGGACGCUAAUACCGUAUACGCCCUCCGGGGGAAAGGUCAGCCGCUAAAAGAGGGGCCCGCGUCUGAUUAGCUUGUUGGUAAGGUAAUGGCUUACCAAGGCUACGAUCAGUAGCUGGUCUGGGAGGAUGAUCAGCCACACUGGGACUGAGACACGGCCCAGACUCCUACGGGAGGCAGCAGUGGGGAAUAUUGGACAAUGGAGGCAACUCUGAUCCAGCAAUGCCGCGUGUGUGAUGAAGGCCCUAGGGUUGUAAAGCACUUUCAACGGUGAAGAUGAUGACGGUAGCCGUAGAAGAAGCCCCGGCUAACUUCGUGCCAGCCGCCGCGGUAAUUC